RNAcentral lists this ribosomal RNA (450 nucleotides) under uncultured bacterium. RNAcentral's name for it is "partial 16S ribosomal RNA". It matches the Rfam family "Bacterial small subunit ribosomal RNA", at positions 354 to 796 of the family's 1533-position model. The record is from RNAcentral.
GUGGGGAAUCUUCCGCAAUGGACGAAAGUCUGACGGAGCAACGCCGCGUGAGUGAAGAAGGUUUUCGGAUCGUAAAGCUCUUUCGUUAGGGACGAACGUGCUCUUUGUGAAUAAUGAGGAGUAAUGACGGUACCUAAAUAAGAAGCCACGGCUAACUACGUGCCAGCAGCCGCGGUAAUACGUAGGUGGCAAGCGUUGUCCGGAAUUAUUGGGCGUAAAGCGCGCGCAGGCGGGAUAUCAAGUCUGUCUUAAAAGUGCGAGGCUCAACCUCGUGAGGGGACAGAGACUGGUAUUCUUGAGUGUCGGAGAGGAAAGUGGAAUUCCUAGUGUAGCGGUGAAAUGCGUAGAUAUUAGGAAGAACACCAGUGGCGAAGGCGACUUUCUGGACGAAAACUGACGCUGAGGCGCGAAAGCCAGGGGAGCGAACGGGAUUAGAAACCCUUGUAGUCC